This is a small nucleolar RNA of Ochotona princeps (American pika), 217 nucleotides long. RefSeq annotates it as small nucleolar RNA U3. The transcript has a single exon. NCBI's taxonomy places the organism in Eukaryota, Metazoa, Chordata, Mammalia, Lagomorpha, Ochotonidae. The record is from RefSeq and is a predicted model, not a curated record.
AGGGCUAUACUUUCAGGGAUCAUUUCUAUACUGGUCAACUACAGAAGUUUCUCUGAUCAUGUAGUACACUGCAAGCCACAAUGAGGAGGUACAGUGUUCUCUCUUGAACAUGAAAGCUGGCUCUGGUGUCACUUUGUGGUGACUGCCAAUGGCAAUCAAUGAUCGUUCUUUUCUUUCUUUUGGAGGAGAAUGAGGGAGAGAAUACAUCCUGAGUGGU